This 349-nucleotide long non-coding RNA is filed under the name Solanum tuberosum (potato). RNAcentral describes it as "long non-coding RNA (STUB_LNC006385)". Lineage: Eukaryota; Viridiplantae; Streptophyta; Magnoliopsida; Solanales; Solanaceae. The record is from RNAcentral.
CCUCUUUCUCCCUUUUCUCUCUCGCUCUUUCUCCCUUUUUUUUCUUUAUGUUGUUCUUUCUCUUUUGUUUUUCUUUUUGCUGCUUUUUUUUUGUUGCUCUUUCUCCUUCUCUUUCUCUUACUUUUUUCCCCUUUCUCUCUCUCUAUUUUCUUUUGUAGAGUAGUUAAUGAUUCGUAGACUAAAUAAAAUUUGUAUCAAUAAUUAAUUAAUUAGGCAAGUAAUCUAAUCGUAACAAAUGAAGAGACAUAAUAAAUUGCAAAAUGAAUUAAAUUUACAUUAAAAAUGUAUUCCACAAAUAUUAAAGUUGAAUUAGUAGAGAAUUAAAUAUGAAUGCAAAAUGUAGCAAACC